Molecule: long non-coding RNA, 284 nt
Filed under: Nicotiana benthamiana
Lineage: Eukaryota; Viridiplantae; Streptophyta; Magnoliopsida; Solanales; Solanaceae
Description: long non-coding RNA (NBEN_LNC026059)
Source: RNAcentral
UGAUUCUAAUUCUUGAUUUUCUACAAUAAAUUUCUUUUCACUUUCAAAUAUUGUUGCUUUUACUCUUAUAUCUCUAAUUCCUGCAAAAUCUCUCUGUUUCUCUAUUUUACUCAAUUAUGCCCCCUCCUCCUCUUGCUACAUAUCUCAUCUAUAUUUAAUUAUCACAGUUUCUAUAUAAGAGUUCUGCUUUCUCUAAUUCUUAUUCUCUGAACUUCUAGCUUUUACUUAUUAGUUGUUCAAAUUUCCAAAUUAAUCUAAAAUGAAUUAUUUUAGAUCUAUUAAAG